This 310-nucleotide unclassified non-coding RNA is filed under the name plant metagenome. RNAcentral describes it as "partial contains 5.8S ribosomal RNA, internal transcribed spacer 2, and large subunit ribosomal RNA". The stretch from base 1 to 105 matches the Rfam family "5.8S ribosomal RNA", at positions 50 to 154 of the family's 154-position model. The record is from RNAcentral.
GAAAUGCGAUAAGUAGUGUGAAUUGCAGAAUUCAGUGAAUCAUCGAAUCUUUGAACGCACAUUGCGCCCCUUGGUAUUCCAUGGGGCAUGCCUGUUCGAGCGUCAUUUGUACCCUCAAGCUCUGCUUGGUGUUGGGUGUUUGUCCCCGUCUCCGCGCGUGGACUCGCCCCAAAGUGAUUGGCAGCCGGCGUACUGGUCCCGGAGCGCAGCACAUGUCGCGCAAACGAGUGCCUUGGUACGGCGGCGUCCAUAAGCCCCUCUCUCACGCUCUUGACCUCGGAUCAGCUAGGGAUACCCGCUGAACUUAAGC